GUUAGCCUAAAAAACAAGGGUGACAGAGGAGGCCGAGUUAGAGCAGACACAACCAUGUGCUUCAGCCUCUCAUUUUAAACCAGUGACACCUUCAUGUAGACAUUUCCCCCCUUACAUUAAUUUGCCGGCUGAUUUCAUUAUCCUCCUUUUAUAACAUGUUAGGUCCUUUAUCCCAGUUUUCUGAGCAUUUCUUUGGCUGACUGAGUUUUGUGUCAGUUACUGGGAAAGUUUCUUUUUAGUACCAACAAUAUCGCAACAACAGUACUAGAAAUUAAGCUUGAGAAAUUUCUCACUAGUAUUAGGAUAAAGGAGUGGGGAUGUCAGGCUUAACAAGCUUGGACCACAUGUGGAAGUUGUCUGCUAAGAAAUUGACCAGAUAUUAUGGCCAAGCAUCAGGCAAAGUACGAUUUGUUAUAGUAAAAAAAACAAAUGAAAAUAAAAUUAUUUUUAAAAGUUACCCAUUUUUUACUUAUAUUUGACCACAAACAUGUAAUUUUAUGUAGUUGUUAUCACAGGAUCAUUUGAUCCCCUGUGUAAAUUCUAAUUAAAGUUGAGUUCAGGAUUAUAAAACCUGUAAUAAUAUUCAAAUGCCACUCUUCAAGUCACUGUUACUAUUGCUUGCUCUCUUCAGGAUUUAUUUCUUCAUAUACAGUGAUUUUCAAAGUGUGUUUCAUGAACCUAAGAACUGGAAAUCCUCUAGCUUGACCCCUACCACUGGGAUCAGAAACUAAGUGGCUGGGGCCCAGCAAUCUGGGUUUUAACAAGCCCACCAGAUGAUUCAGAUGUACGCACUAGUUUGAGAAUCACGUCUCAGACGAUAAACUCGGCUUCCCUUCUUUGGUGUGGAUUGGCCCCUGGCCCUUAGUUUCACAGUCCCUCCAACUCAACAGCCACGCCAGCACAGCCAUGCCCAGCUCUCCAUCAUCAUAAGCUGCACCUUGCCUGAUAAGGUUGACCAUCACAUCUGGUCAAUUUCCCAGCAGACGAUUUCAAGCUCCUCCGCUGUUAAGAUUGAAAUCUCUAUUCCCUUCUCACUCUCAACAGAUGCUCUCAACGGCAGUCAGUCAGCAAUCAACCACUGCAUCUCUUUAUCCCAACAGAUCUGACUUCAACCCAUUCUCUCUGUGAUGUCUCUCCCAUUCUUUCUAAGACUAACUCUGCCAACUGUAUUAACAUUUAGUUUUAUGUAAUCCUGUUUCCUCUAAGCCCUUGUCCUCUCCAUGAACUCCACUCUCCUCAUCUUCACUCUGUCCUCUAGCUUUCUUUUUCUAAUGCUUACAAAUGAUAUCACUUUGUGGGUUUGAUUUGCAUUUCUCUGGUAAUUAGAGAUGCUGAUAAUCUCAUGUAUUUAUUGCCAUUUGUACUUCAUUGAUGGAGAAGUGUCUAUUUUAGUCCUUUGCCCAUUUUUUUUAAACUAGGUUAUUUCCAGCUAUGAUACUGAGAUGGAUAAUAAAACCUUAUCACCUAUCAGAUUUACAAAUAUGUUCAUUCAUACUAUGAGGUGUCUUUUUUACGCUCUUGAUAGUGUUCUUGACAUCUAAGUAUGCCAAGCUCUCUCCUACUUGGCUAAGCUCUAAGCUCCCUAAAGGCAGUGGCUGAUCUGCUUUAUUCAUCCCAGUCCUUGGCUCAUAACAGGUGUCCAAAAAGGAAUGGUUACUAGUUGAAUAAAAUCAUUUUGUCUUCAUUUCUCCUGGUAACCUUUCUAGGUAUUCUGACAAACUUCUUGAAUAUGCACUUUUCUUCCUCUCUCUCUUGAAACUAUUUUAUUGAGGUUCACUGAUAAUCACCUAAAUGUCCAUUUCUGCUUUCUCUGAGCCUUUAUUCUGAAUCUCUCAGAAGUAUGUUGUUACUGACCCCUUGAAAUUUGUUUCUCUUUGUUUUCAGAAUCCUUGGUUCAUCCUAUCAUAGUAUUGCUGCUUGUUGGGUGGCUUCUCUUCUUCAUCUUCCCAAAAUGAAAGGUUCAGUGCUUAUCCCUCUUAUCUUUCCUCAGAAGUGUCUUUGUGGAAAUUUUCCUAAAACCUCUGUCAUCAGCUAUGCGCCCAGUGUGGAUAACUCAAAACUCUCUAGCCCUCACCUUCCUAUUGAGCUCCAGUGCCACAUUUUCAAAUACUCAGUAGGCAUUAUCUGGAGACACCUUCAUGGCCUAAGAAAGCAAGGUUUUCCACAUGACAGAACCAGGCCCCAAGUGUCCAUGUGAUCAAGUACGUAAGAGGUAGUAGCAUCUUACCACAGCCCGCUUCAUGAAAGCCUCCUGUGUCGCCUUCUUGUUUGCAGCCUUGCCACUCCAAGCAGCCAGUGCACUGGCCUGCAGGGCCCGUCCAUAAGAGAAACUUAGUUUCCAGGGUUUAGGUAGAGGGCAAAGGUUGAUAGCAUUAAGGUUGAGGGUAGCAUCCUCUUCACUCAUGCCCCCAGACA
This is a long non-coding RNA of Pipistrellus kuhlii (Kuhl's pipistrelle), 2415 nucleotides long. RefSeq lists it as uncharacterized. The record is from RefSeq and is a predicted model, not a curated record. NCBI's taxonomy places the organism in Eukaryota, Metazoa, Chordata, Mammalia, Chiroptera, Vespertilionidae. The transcript has 2 exons.